Molecule: transfer RNA, 81 nt
Filed under: Martensiomyces pterosporus
Lineage: Eukaryota; Fungi; Kickxellomycota; Kickxellomycetes; Kickxellales; Kickxellaceae
Description: tRNA-Leu
Rfam family: tRNA
About the family: Transfer RNA (tRNA) molecules are approximately 80 nucleotides in length. Their secondary structure includes four short double-helical elements and three loops (D, anti-codon, and T loops).
Source: RNAcentral
GGUCAGAUGGCCGAGCGGUCUAAGGCGCCACGUUAAGGCCGUGGUCUCGUAGAGGCGUGGGUUCGAAUCCCACUCUGAUCA